CACUUGGCCAGAUUCUCUCUAACAGACAUCCCACAUUGGUUACUGGGAACUGACCUGAAGAACUGGAGAAAAGCUUCUGUCAGCAGUACAGCUGGAAAGUAAGAGUGUUGCAGAGCUACCGGGUCAGUCCUUCAUUGCACUCACCCAGCAAAGAGGCAGUAGCUGUUGUAAAGAUCAGGAUUGAUGGGACCGUUGCAUGCAACACGUGGCCUGUAGAGCUAGAUAAAUACAUUGCACAAUGGAUUUGUCCCAGUCACCUCUUUGGAGAGGGAACGAAGAUCCUGUCUGUGCAAGCCAAUGAAAAGACCUAAUGGGAUCUCACAGGACACAAACCUUUGUAAGAGCUCUUCACUCAGAACCACAUAAAUUGGAGAUAACAAAAUGGAAAAGAAAAAAAAAAAAGGCACAAAAAAAAAAUAAAAAAC
Molecule: long non-coding RNA, 425 nt
Organism: Oxyura jamaicensis (ruddy duck)
Lineage: Eukaryota; Metazoa; Chordata; Aves; Anseriformes; Anatidae
Exons: 2
Source: RefSeq, a predicted model, not a curated record